This 3465-nucleotide ribosomal RNA is filed under the name Triticum aestivum (bread wheat). RNAcentral's name for it is "partial small subunit ribosomal RNA". The record is from RNAcentral. Lineage: Eukaryota; Viridiplantae; Streptophyta; Magnoliopsida; Poales; Poaceae.
CCCCUGUCAGCAAGCCCCUGGGCGGUCAACUCCAGAAGCAGAUAGCAGAGAGGAGCCGCAAGGGAGUGCCCAGAUCUGGAGGAGUACAUACACCAGAGCUUAAGCACCGCACAGGGGUGAGUGGGCCCUCCCUUGGGCCGUCGGCGGCUAGCCGGAGCCGGGGGGAGGGGAGUGGAGAAGAUGGAGAUUGUGGCCACGACUUUUGUUGGUCGGAUCGCACUGAAGCUCUUCGCGUUUCUAGAUGAAAAUUACAGGCUACGGCGGAACCUGGAGCAUGACAUCCAGCGCAUCCGGAUGGAGCUGGACAUGAUCGACGCCGCCAUCCACGACCACGACGACCGUCGCUCGAGCAACCAGGUGCAGACCGCCUGGAUACAGCUCGCGCGCGAGCUGGGCCACAGCAUCGACGACUGCAUCGACCGCUUUUAGGUUCGGGGAAGACUCUUCUUGCGAGAGAGGUGUACGAGAGUGACACCGUGGUCUGCCAGUACAAAGCACGGGCUUGGGUUCGUGCGGCGGACAAAGGCGCGGUGUGUGUUCUCCAGGAGAUCCUCGAGGAGCUUGGCAUGCAGGUAACCGGGGAUGCCAGGAAGCUCACCACACAUCUCAGAAAAUGCCUCGAGCCAAAGGGGUUCUUCAUUGUUAUUGAUGACAUGAGAACGGAACUUUGGAACACCAUGAAAAAUUCUUUCCCUGCAGUGAUGGGAGUGAGCAGCAGAGUGGUGGUCACCACGCCCAUUCAGUACAUAGCAAAUGCCUGCAGCUCUGCUCACGGUCAUGUGUACGCAAUGAGAACUCUUAGCGAGGAUCUCUCAAGACAGUUGUUCCUCAAAGAAGCUUCCUUGGAGGAUUCAUCGCCUAGUAAUGAGCUUGGUUCAGAAGCACUAAAGAAAUGCGAUGGUCUGCCACUCGCUCUCGUUACCACAGCCCAAUUCUUGCAGAGUCGAGGUGAUCCGACACGGACAGAGUGGGCAAGGCUGUGCAGCAACUUGGGUGAACAUCUGGAAACGGAGGACACCUUAGCGAGAAUGAAGCACGUGGUUCGCCACAGCUAUGCCGGUCUUCCUGACCAUUUUAUCAAGACAUUCUUGCUAUAUCUGGGAAUUUUCCCGCGUGAUCGCCCAGUGAGAAGAGAAAGGCUAAUAAGGCGAUGGCUAGCUGAAGGAUUAUUUGGAGGGGAUGCUGAACUCGCUACGUGCUAUUUCAAGAAGCUGAUCGACCACAGUAUCAUUCGGCCUAUUGAUUGGAGCAGCAACGCAGAGGUGAAGACGUGCCAAACUCACGGCAUGAUGCUCGAGUUCAUCCUACACAAGUCCAGAUGUGAGAACUUCGUUACCUUGUCACAUGAUCAGGCACGCCUAACCGGUAAGGCCCGUUGGCUUUCUCUGCAUCAUGAAAGAGCUGGGCAGGCUAGGAUGAGUCCAGAGGAUUUACCCUUUGUUCGGUCUCUAACAGUCUUUGGCAAGGCACACAAAUCUGUUUUGGAUUUCUCCAAGUACGAACUGCUGCGAGUUUUGGAUCUGGAAGAAUGUGAGGAUGAAUUGGGUGACAAGCAUCUCAGAGAGAUAUGCAACCUACUGCUACUUAGGUACCUAAGCCUUGGUGGCCCCAUUUCAGUGCUUCCCAAGGAGAUUGCAAAGCUAAAACUUUUGGAGACACUUGAUAUAACAAGAACCAAGAUAGAGAUUCUGCCUAUACAAGUCAUCGAGCUCCCGAGAUUGAUUCAUCUGUUUGGAAGGUUCAAACUUGAAGAUGCAAGUCAGAGAAUAAGUAAGCUGAAGAACUUCCUUUCAGAAAAAAGUAACUUGCAGACGCUAUCAGGAUUUGUUGCUGACAAAGGAUUUGCACAACUCAUGGAUCAUAUGAAUAACUUGACAAAGGUGAAAAUAUGCUGUGAAUCCACUAUGGAUGUCAGCAACAUAACUCAUCUUUCCAAGUCAAUUAACGGGUUCAUCCAGAGAGGCACUCAUGCGAGUGACAAGUGUUCACUCUCACUGAAUUUCAACAAAUGGUCCGAAGACUUGCUGAGUUUUUCCUUGGAAAAAACAUGCUUUCUCAGUAAACUGAAGCUAAAAGGCAACAUCUUGAGUUUACCUCCAUUUGUUACCACGUUGGCUGGUCUCACCGAGCUGUCUCUUUCAUCCCUCGGCAAGUUCACUGGGGAUAUACUUGCUGCUGUAAGCAUAGUGCGCUCCUUGCAGUACCUGAAGCUGGUAGCAAGUCACAUGGACAAGUUUGUCAUAAGAAAGGGGCAGCUCAAUAUACUACUACGCCUGUGCAUCGUGGUGCAAUCCAUGGAAGACCUAGAAAUCGAAGAGGAUGCGCUUCCGUGUUUGGAGUCCCUCCAGCUGCUCUCUAAGGAUUUAGAUGGUUUUGGUGGCAUAAGAAUGGAAUUCCUUGGACGUCUCAAGGAGGUGGCUCUCGACGAUGGAGUGAGCGACGAAGCAAAACAGGAGUGGGAAGAAGCAGCAAAGAAACACCCGAGACGACCCAAAGUCUUGUUUGUGAAAACAAUGUGAGUCAGAAGCUGAUCAUCAGAUGCAGACGGGAGGAAUGGAGCCUGCUGAGACUCCUGCAACACUAGCUCCCCGACAUGACGCCCAGGUGCACCUGCUUAACCAGGGAGCUGAGCAGACUGUGGCACAGGUGCAGCCAACUCCCAACCCCAUACUUGUUCGUGGCCAGUGAGGCACAAGUUCGGAGUGUUCGGUCACUUACUCCUUUUGGAUUUAUUUGAGAAUCGAGAGUAUGCCUUCUAUUUCGGCAGCAUAAGGUUCGUUGGCAAGCUAAACAACCUGCGAUAUCUUCAUCUGACCUGUUCUGUACCAUCUUCAGACCAUCUGAAGAGAAGCAUGGAAGCUCUGGGCUCUCUACUCUCAGAACAUGGCAACCUAAAAACUCUAGCUCUGGUUAAUGACCCAUGUCAUAGAAAUGUUGUGGUUCGCAGUGCUUGAAAGUGGCUGUCUCCUGGGAUGGCUUAGUACCUCCCCCACUUCUCAAGGUGUUUGAUUGGUCGCUACACAGCGGUAUACUGUCUUGUAUUCUGAAGUGGAUAGGAAAACUUGGGAAGCACCGCAUUUUGAAGAUUGCAGUAAGGGAACUUCCGAGGGAUGGUAUUGCUGCUCUCACCGCUCUAUCCUUGUAUUUGCAUACGGCUACUGUUGAAAGGAUUGUCUUUGACAAGGUGGGAUUCUGAAUUCUCAACUUCGUGAAGCUCAGGCGCAGUCGGCGAACGCAAUGCCUAAUCUCUGGAAGCUCAAGCCAGGUUCAAUGCCCUGGUGGUUUCAUCCGCAUGGCACUAGUGUUAUGAUGUGAUUUAAUGACCAACUUCAUUGUUGUGCAAUGCCCUCAUGGUCUGGGUUGUUUUGACUAUGUAUUGUCUGUAAGGCCUGUUUUGCAAUAUGUGAGCUUUAAAUUUCUUCGUGAUAUGGAAGGACUGUUCCUUUUAAUCCUUUUCUAUUUCAG